CUCAAAACUCCCAUGCUGUGAAAAAUACUAGCAAGGAAGUCGGGACUUUUCUAGAAGGUGCUCUCGUAAUUCAAGUGACAGCCAUAUCUGCAGUCCCUUAUAAGUGAAAAGAUCAAGUGUCACAAUACCCCAUUUCCUCCCCUUGAAUCCCUGACACCCAAGCAGUGCAGUACUGGGCCUUGAUGUUUAAGAAGUACACAGGGACAUUUUGAUUUGUCAUAAUUUCCGAGGAUGUUACUGGCAUGUAGUUAGCAUGCCCAAGGGAUGCUGGCACCCACACAACCAAUGUCCCACCCAGAAAUGCUAGUGGACUCCUACAGGUUGGCCAUGUGGCCUUGAAGGUGUUUGAACUGAAAAUACUUCCUCUCUGGGCCAUGACUCCUGGGCUGAUCAGAUCCAAUCUCUGAAGAAGUUUGAGAACCAAACCUAGAAAAAGUGAACUGAAAUAAUGGCGGCCAACAGAGGCCAAAUCAGGAAUCUGGUAGAGUCACUGUGCAAGGAAAUAUGUGUGAUGCUUCUAAGGAACAAUGACAUGCCAGGGUCCCGUGACUUCCAUGGGUUGCAAAGGGCAUGACCAAUGUCCCAAGGUAUUGUGAGGCCCCACAUGAACUCUCAUCAGCUAGAUAGCAGAUAUAUUAACUUACAAAAGAGCCUAUAAUUUUUUUACCAUGUUGUUAACUAGACAAUAAGUGAUAUUUCUUUUAUUUUACAAUAAUGGGGGCUGAACCCAGGGGUACUCAUUAAGUUGCACAGGGUAGUCUAGAACUUGCAGUCCUCCUGCCUGAGCCCUCUGAGUCACCAGGAUUACAGCAGGUGUGCACUACCAUGUCU
RNAcentral lists this long non-coding RNA (831 nucleotides) under Marmota monax (woodchuck). Lineage: Eukaryota; Metazoa; Chordata; Mammalia; Rodentia; Sciuridae. The record is from RNAcentral.